CCUACGGGAGGCAGCAGUAGGGAAUAUUGGUCAAUGGGCGAGAGCCUGAACCAGCCAUGCCGCGUGCAGGAAGAAGGCCCUCUGGGUUGUAAACUGCUUUUGACAGGGGCCAAAAUACUCAUGCGUGAGGAAUUGAGAGUAUAGAAUAAGCACCGGCUAACUCCGUGCCAGCAGCCGCGGUAAUACGGAGGGUGCAAGCGUUGUCCGGAUUUAUUGGGUUUAAAGGGUGCGUAGGUGGCCUUAUAAGUCAGUGGUGAAAGCCUGCAGCUUAACUGUAGGACUGCCAUUGAUACUGUAGGGCUUGAGUACUGAUGAGGUAGGCGGAAUUGAUAGUGUAGCGGUGAAAUGCAUAGAUAUUAUCAAGAACACCGAUUGCGAAGGCAGCUUACUAAGGAGUUACUGACACUGAGGCACGAAAGCGUGGGGAUCAAACAGGAUUAGAUACCCUGGUAGUCCACGACCACUAACGAUAGUAUUACUACGUAUAGUAUAGCGAUAGAUAGUAUGCGUCCGAACGACGAAGACGUUAAGUUAAGUACCGACCGUACGGGUAGGUACGACCGACCGAAGGUUAGUAAACGUUAAAGUUAAGUAAGUUAGUACGGACGUAGAGACGUUAGACCGACGGACGACGACGAGGGGAGGAGGGNG
Molecule: ribosomal RNA, 651 nt
Filed under: uncultured bacterium
Lineage: Bacteria
Description: bacterial SSU rRNA
Rfam family: Bacterial small subunit ribosomal RNA (bases 1-540)
Source: RNAcentral